RNAcentral lists this ribosomal RNA (809 nucleotides) under uncultured bacterium. Its description in RNAcentral is "bacterial SSU rRNA". It matches the Rfam family "Bacterial small subunit ribosomal RNA", at positions 75 to 858 of the family's 1533-position model. The record is from RNAcentral.
UGUCUUCGGACGGGCGAAGUAAAGUGGCGCACGGGUGAGUAACGCGUAGGCGACCUACCUCUGUGUUUGGGAUAACAGUGCUAAAGCGCUGCUCGUACCGGAUACGAUUCUGCAUGUAAGGCAGGAUGAAAGCGGUGCCUCUCGAAGAUACUCGCGCACGGGGAUGGGCCUGCGUCCUAUCAGCUAGUUGGCGGGGUAACGGCCGACCAAGGCAUCGACGGGUAGCUGGUCUGACAGGAUGAUCAGCCACACUGAGUUCUGGAACACGGGCCAGACUCCUACGGGAGGCAGCAGUGAGGAAUUUUGCGCAAUGGGAGAAAUCCUGACGCAGAAAGAAUCGCGUGGGUGAUGAAGGCCUUCGGGUUGUAAAGCCCUGUCAGGUGGGAAGAAAGACUGGGGGGAUAAUACCCCUCCGGGUUGAUGGUAUCUCCAGAGGAAGCACUGGGUUACUCAGUCCCUGCUGCCGCGGUAAUACGGAGGGUGCCAGCGUUAUUCGGAAUUAGCGGGUGUAAAGCGCGUGCAGGCGGGUGGACAAGUGUGAUGUGAAAGACCUUGGGCUCAACGUGUGAAGUUCAUAGGUAACUGUUCAUUUGUAGUCCUGGAGAGGAAGGGGGAAUUCCCGGUGUAGAGGUGAAAUUAGUAGAGAUCGGGAGGAAUACCAGUGGUGAAGGCGCCGUUUUGGACGGCAACUGACGCUGAGACGAGAAAGCGUGGGGAGCAAACAGGAUUAGAUACCUUGGUAGUGCUCGCCGUAAACGAUGAGCACUAGGUGUAGCGGGUACUCAUUCGUGCUGUGCCGCAGCUAACGC